RNAcentral lists this ribosomal RNA (502 nucleotides) under uncultured bacterium. RNAcentral's name for it is "partial 16S ribosomal RNA". It matches the Rfam family "Bacterial small subunit ribosomal RNA", at positions 28 to 523 of the family's 1533-position model. The record is from RNAcentral.
GAUGAACGCUAGCGGCAGGCCUAACACAUGCAAGUCGAGGGGCAGCACAGAAACAGCAAUGUUUUGGUGGCGACCGGCGGACGGGUGCGUAACGCGUAUGCAACCUACCUUGAACAGGGGGAUAACGGAGAGAAAUUUCCACUAAUACCCCAUAACAUCGAUCAAGGCAUCUUGAUUGGUUGAAAACUCCGGUGGUUAAAGAUGGGCAUGCGUUGUAUUAGGUAGUUGGUGAGGUAAUGGCUCACCAAGCCUACGAUACAUAGGGGGACUGAGAGGUUAGCCCCCCACACUGGUACUGAGACACGGACCAGACUCCUACGGGAGGCAGCAGUGAGGAAUAGUGGUCAAUGGGGGCAACCCUGAACCAGCCAUGCCGCGUGCAGGAAGACGGCUCUAUGAGUUGUAAACUGCUUUUAAACAGGGAUAAAGCACAGUAUGUAUACUGUGUUGAAGGUACUGUAAGAAUAAGGACCGGCUAACUCCGUGCCAGCCGCCGCGGUAA